CAGCCGUAAACUAUGCGCGUUAGGUGUAUCGGUGACCACGAGUUACCGAGGUGCCGAAGGGAAACCGUGAAACGUGCCGCCUGGGAAGUACGGUCGCAAGGCUGAAACUUAAAGGAAUUGGCGGGGAGCACCACAACAGGUGGAGCCUGCGGUUUAAUUGGACUCAACGCCGGGAAGCUCACCGGAUAGGACAGCAGAAUGAUUGCCGGGCUGAAGACCCUGCAUGACUGGCUGAGAGGAGGUGCAUGGCGUCAGUGACU
RNAcentral lists this ribosomal RNA (260 nucleotides) under uncultured archaeon. RNAcentral describes it as "partial 16S ribosomal RNA". It matches the Rfam family "Archaeal small subunit ribosomal RNA", at positions 748 to 1008 of the family's 1478-position model. The record is from RNAcentral.